Long non-coding RNA from Sander lucioperca (pikeperch), 110 nucleotides. RefSeq lists it as uncharacterized. Lineage: Eukaryota; Metazoa; Chordata; Actinopteri; Perciformes; Percidae. The transcript has 3 exons. The record is from RefSeq and is a predicted model, not a curated record.
ACAGCUGCUCUCUGCUGUUGUCUCUGGAGAUGGUAAACCGGCCCUGAACUGACUGAGAGUAGUAGAUGCUAGCACUACUGCUGAUACUCGCAACCCACUCCAGUCCUUUU